Molecule: ribosomal RNA, 364 nt
Filed under: uncultured rumen bacterium
Lineage: Bacteria
Description: partial 16S ribosomal RNA
Source: RNAcentral
UAUUCCCCACUGCUGCCUCCCGUAGGAGUUUGGGCCGUGUCUCAGUCCCAAUGUGGCCGUUCACCCUCUCAGGCCGGCUACUGAUCGUCGGUUUGGUAGGCCGUUACCCUGCCAACUGCCUAAUCAGACGCGGGACCAUCCUGUUCCACCGGAGUUUUUCACACUGCACCAUGCGGUGCUGUGCGCUUAUGCGGUAUUAACAGUCGUUUCCAACUGUUGUCCCCCUGCAUACGGCAGGUUACCCACGCGUUACUCACCCGUCCGCCACUAAGUAUAAACAAGAAUUGACCGAAAUCGCUUCAGCGUUUACACUCCGUUCGACUUGCAUGUGUUAAGCACGCCGCCAGCGUUCAUCCUGAGCCAA